UUUGGGGGGGAGGGGGCUCUCAGCCUGGAUUGUGAGAGGGUGCAGGCCAGGCCGAAGGACCCCACCGGUGCAUG
RNAcentral lists this microRNA precursor (74 nucleotides) under Myotis brandtii (Brandt's bat). Its description in RNAcentral is "mir-9193 microRNA precursor family". It matches the Rfam family "mir-9193 microRNA precursor family". Lineage: Eukaryota; Metazoa; Chordata; Mammalia; Chiroptera; Vespertilionidae. The record is from Rfam by way of RNAcentral.